Molecule: ribosomal RNA, 565 nt
Filed under: Candidatus Neomicrothrix parvicella
Lineage: Bacteria; Bacillati; Actinomycetota; Acidimicrobiia; Acidimicrobiales; Microthrixaceae
Description: bacterial SSU rRNA
Rfam family: Bacterial small subunit ribosomal RNA
Source: RNAcentral
UCCUACGGGAGGCAGCAGUAGGGAAUCUUGCGCAAUGGGCGAAAGCCUGACGCAGCAAUGCCGCGUGCGGGACGAAGGCCCUAGGGUCGUAAACCGCUUUCAGUAGGGACGAAAAUGACGGUACCUGCAGAAGAAGCUCCGGCCAACUACGUGCCAGCAGCCGCGGUGAUACGUAGGGAGCAAGCGUUGUCCGGAAUUACUGGGCGUAAAGGGCUCGUAGGUGGUUGAGUAAGUCAGAUGUGAAAUCUCAGGGCCCAACCCUGAGCCUGCAUUUGAUACUGCUCUGACUAGAGUCCGGUAGGGGAGUGCGGAACUCCUGGUGUAGCGGUGAAAUGCGCAGAUAUCAGGAAGAACACCGACAGCGAAGGCAGCACUCUGGGCCGGUACUGACACUGAGGAGCGAAAGCAUGGGUAGCAAACAGGAUUAGAUACCCUGGUAGUCCAUGCCGUAAACGUUGGGCACUAGGUGUGGGGAGAACUCAACUCUCUCCGCGCCGUAGCUAACGCAUUAAGUGCCCCGCCUGGGGAGUACGGCCGCAAGGCUAAAACUCAAAGGAAUUGACGG